AGUGUCCCUUGCUCCACUGCCCUCUCUGGGGCGCUUCCCGCCGCGGUUUCUCUACCUCCAAUAGCUACGGGAAGGCGAUUAAGAGGUGCCGCGGAGACUUUAAGGGCUUGGUUAUGUAGGUUCAGGUACCUUUGCCACCUCGCAGGGAAUGGCGUGUCCCUGUCUUGGACUGAGGCACCAAAAAGAGUUGCACUCCACCUGCCACUUGUGCAGGAAGGAAUUCUGAGCUUCUGUCUUCCCAUGCAGGCCGGCGCCUCAGUCUGCAAGCGCAAAGUCCGAGCUCAGGGCGCAUACUGGAAAGCAGUUCUCUGCCCUGUCCUGAACUGGGACUUGGAAAUAGAAGCAAGACGAGAAGCGUGCAUGCACACGUGUGCAAUACAUACAUGCACAGGCACAAGCACCCCCAGUUCCAGCCUGUUCCAAAAGCACGGGGUCAGUUCCCACCUGCGUGGUGCACGCUGGGCUGCUGCGCUGGAACUAGGGGUGAUAGGCAGAAUGGCUCCCCCUGAAGUUUUUCAGCCUUCGUUCGGGCUCACGAGCAUCACGAGCAGGAAGUACGUGACACUUUAGUUCGAGGUCAUUCAAUCCUAUUGUGAAUGAGGAGUUCCGUUAGGGCAUCCAGGUAGGCGAGCCCAGUCCUGAGAAUCCUCUUUAUUUUAAAUGUUGGUAUUUUGUUAUUCAUGGAUUUUUUUUUUGCAUUAAUUUUAAUUUUAAAAAAUAAAAAUGUUAUUCAUCUUGAUCACUUAGUUUUUUGGUGCUCCCUUAAAUGUUGUGCCUGAAGUGAGUACCUGUUGAGCAUUUAGCAACACAGAAGUCACCUUGGGGAGUACAGUUUAAGUGGAGGACAAAAGCCUGAUUGGAAUGGUAAUAAAACCUACUUGUUAGGCUAUUUGUGGGGGUUAAAUAACAUAAUAUGUGUGAAAGAGCUUCUUGAACUAGCAAGGUUAUGCGUCAAGUCUUACGGAUUUUGUCUUAAAUGUAUUUUUCUUCCGAUUCUUGUCCAGUUUAUCGUUGUAUUAACUCCAGCACCUAACCCAGUUGGAUUUUCAUAUGCAGUUAUUAUGAAUUUGCAGAAAUUGGGUUUACAUGACCUUUACUGCUUUCCUUUGUUCCAGAUUCGUUCUGGGAGAUUGAGAGAUUAUAGUAUUGCAUUGUGACGUGGAAUGCAGACAGACCACUGUCACUUACUAGCUUUGUGCUCUUAAGAAAAUUGUGUGAAAUGGGAACGAAAACCUACCACAAAGGAUUGUUAUGAGGGUUAAAAGAUACUGCAUUUCUAUUCACCCAGUAAAUGCUAUAUGCCGACUCUCUGCCAGCCUGUGCUGUAGGUGCUGGAGACAGCAUUAAGAAAGAUGAAGGCCCUUCUCUCAUUGACUUACACAGGGGAAGAGAGGGAGCAGAAACAAUAAACAGUAUACAUACGCAACCUACCGGUCAGUGUACAUAAACAACAUAUUCACAGCACCUGGUAUGUAACAGAUGCUCAAUAAAUGAUU
RNAcentral lists this long non-coding RNA (1496 nucleotides) under Homo sapiens (human). RNAcentral describes it as "non-protein coding lnc-BCL2A1-4:1". The record is from RNAcentral. Lineage: Eukaryota; Metazoa; Chordata; Mammalia; Primates; Hominidae.